Molecule: ribosomal RNA, 253 nt
Filed under: uncultured bacterium
Lineage: Bacteria
Description: partial 16S ribosomal RNA
Rfam family: Bacterial small subunit ribosomal RNA
Source: RNAcentral
UACGGAGGGGGCGAGCGUUGUCCGAAGUUACUGGGCGUAAAGGGCUCGUAGGCGGCCAACUAAGUCGGAUGUGAAAUCCCCAGGCUUAACCUGGGAACUGCAUCCGAUACUGGAUGGCUUGAAUUCGGGAGAGGGAUGCAGAAUUCCAGGUGUAGCGGUGAAAUGCGUAGAUAUCUGGAGGAAUACCGGUGGCGAAGGCGGCAUCCUGGACCGAGAUUGACGCUGAUGAGCGAAAGCGUGGGGAGCGAACAGG